GACGAACGCUGGCGGCGUGCUUAACACAUGCAAGUCGAGCGGAAAGGCCCCUUCGGGGGUACUCGAGCGGCGAACGGGUGAGUAACACGUGGGUAACCUGCCCCAAAGCCCGGGAUAACGUUUCGAAAGGAACGCUAAUACCGGAUGUUGUGCAACCUGCCAAGCGGGUUGUACCAAAGGUAGCUUCGGCCUCCGCUUUGGGAUGGGCCCGCGUAGCAUUAGCUUGUUGGUGGGGUAACGGCCUACCAAGGCUACGAUGCUUAGCUGGUCUGAGAGGACGAUCAGCCACACUGGGACUGAGAUACGGCCCAGACUCCUACGGGAGGCAGCAGUGGGGAAUCUUGCGCAAUGGGCGAAAGCCUGACGCAGCAACGCCGCGUGAGCGAAGAAGGCCUUCGGGUUGUAAAGCUCUGUCAGGAGGGACGAAGCCACUCGGGUUAAUAGCCCAGAGGGUGACGGUACCUCCAGAGGAAGGUCCGGCUAACUACGUGCCAGCAGCCGCGGUAAUACGUAGGGACCUAGCGUUGUCCGGAAUUAUUGGGCGUAAAGAGCGUGUAGGCGGCUUGCCAAGUCCGAUGUGAAAACUCGGGGCUUAACCCCGAGCCUGCAUUGGAAACUGGCUUGCUUGAGUCCGGAAGAGGGGACUGGAAUUCCUGGUGUAGCGGUGAAAUGCGCAGAUAUCAGGAAGAACACCCGUGGCGAAGGCGGGUCCCUGGGACGGUACUGACGCUGAGACGCGAAAGCGUGGGGAGCGAACAGGAUUAGAUACCCUGGUAGUCCACGCCGUAAACGAUGGGCACUAGGUGUGGGAGGUGUCGACUCCUUCCGUGCCGUAGCUAACGCAUUAAGUGCCCCGCCUGGGGAGUACGGCCGCAAGGCUA
Molecule: ribosomal RNA, 881 nt
Filed under: uncultured bacterium
Lineage: Bacteria
Description: bacterial SSU rRNA
Rfam family: Bacterial small subunit ribosomal RNA
Source: RNAcentral